AAGGAAGCAAGAAAAGACCCGAGACACGAGUUUUGCAGAAAGUUUGUACCGGCGGCAGCUCGGGGGUGUCCCGCCCGUCCCCGCUCCGCCGCGCCGGGACCCGGCAGGGCUCGGCCCCGAGCCGGGAGCGGGCCGGGGCCGUGCGCGGAGGGAGCGGCGGAACACAGGGCCAGGAAAUGGAGCUGCAGUAAGUGCUGAAAGGUACAGAUAAACUGUGUGUUCUUUUCACUGGUCUAGGCCAAAAGUGGCUGUGUAAUGAAUGGAGAGAUGUCAGCUCUGGGUAUGGUUUACACAUACAGGGAGGCAGCCUCUUACCACCUCCUGUGCCUGUUCUCAGCCUGCUGUCAAUUGUGGGCUUCUUUAAGAGAACCAAAUGGACAGAGUGAAUGUCACCUCCCUCUCCACUUGCUGAACUCUGCUUAAACACAACACUGUUUUUCUGCCUCAAAAAUAUACAUAAAGGUAUGUAUAGUAUGUUAGCCCCUCCUUAGCCUUUCCCAUCCUGAAACUUUUCAAACAGGGAUGGCAUGUUCCUCUCUUCACUGCCAAAAAAAAAAUAAAUUCCUUUCUCAGUAUUUCCCCCUUCCCCCAUUUCUUCUCAGCUGACAGCUGUGAGAAUGGAACUUUCUUGAUCUAUCCUAUCCAUUUCCCCCAAUUCUGUUUUUAAGGUAGAUUUGGUUUAAAUAUCCAAGCCAUCUUUCACACUACAGGAUUUUUUUAACAUAAAGUGGAUUUGCAAAUGCUUAACGUGGGUAGAGACGUGGCAACUGUUUACAUAUAUUUAUUUUUCUUUUUUAAACAACAUUCCACCUUCUUUCCCCAGAAAUUUAGAAAGUUGAAUGAGAAUGAAAUUGAACAAUACAGCCAUUUAAGAAAUUACAGGAAGAUCAAAGUUUUGUAAUAAAGCAAUUUUUUUGCAAGACUAUUUCCUUAUAAUUCAAACCAUCUUUUUGAUUUUCAUACAAAUUCCCUUCUAACAAAUAAAAAUUUCAUUAAGAAAUAUAGGAAUUGCAUUCAAAAUCUGGAGAGUAAAAUGAAAAUAAUGGUAUUUAAGGUAGUUCUUAAGCUUCACACUUCUCAACAGAAGGCCUGACAGCUGUAGGUAGUUCUUUGUUGGUUGUUUUGCACUUUGAUCGGAGUUUGAGGUUAUCUCUCACUCUGACAUAAACACCUCCCAUAACUCAGCUUUAUGGGAAGGUGUUUUUCCGCCCUCAUUGCCAUUAGCCCGUGCACAAAGGAAUCAGACAGGUACUUGGACUUCAGCUGACUUGACAAGGUAGGUCCCAAAGUAUAAACGUGCAGUUGUCUCUGCAGAAUCUAACAUAAUUUCAUUAUUAAAACAUUCAGGUAAGGGAGAGUUUAGGUAGUUGUUUUUCCUUGGAUUAGCACAGCUGCAUGUCUGUGUCUGGAAAAUCUGGGUUUGACAGUGAUAAAAGAGGAUCGAUGGCUCCAUGAGUUGUGAAAUUCAGGAAUUUGUGAAAUCACAUGAUUCCUGGAAAAUGUGUUCAGGGUGCUUUGAGUCUCCUUGUUGUCCUUUUAUUGAACUUGAUAUGUUAUUAGAGUGACCCACUGGAAUGUGGCACUAAAGAUCCAAAUGAUGGAGACCAUGUAUGAAUAGGCAGUGGUGAAAGUGGUGUUAAUUUUCCUGAGGCCUUAAGGGCACACAGACCUGAAUCAUCAGCUAGCCAAUGUCACUUGUUUUGUAUUUUAUUGGUCUCAUUGACUACAAAGAGAUAAUUUGACUUCAGACAUUUGGAGUUUGCCCAUUCAACAUUAGUCUAUGACAAACUAGCAUGGAAAAAAAAAAGGAAAGCUACUUUUCAGACUGAUUAUCAUAUUCCUUGAUAUCACACUCCAAAACAGCCUCUGCAUUGUGCACUGUUUUCUGAGGAGGGUGUGCUGCAAGCACACAUGUCUCCAUUGCCUGUACUUUUAAAUUGAGAAUUUUUAGAAAAACUUAAUUUUGGAAAUCUUAGUUUUCCUUGUCUUCCCAUACUCUUGCACGCACACCUUCAGCUUCCCUCAUCACUGGAACCCUGAAACCUCCACAGCAGGAAGUGCAUUGGAGCUCUGUGAUGUAGAUUCACCCAGCAGCAUACAACUGUUUUGUAACUCCUCACAGAGGAGAACAUAUUGUUUUCUAGAGACAUGAUGGUUGGCACAUGAACAACACCUAAAAUGCCUGCUGCCAAUUUGUUGUUUGUUACUUGGUUUAUUAAUUAAGUUACACAAAAGCUUUGGAAGAAGGCCAACAGUUGUUGUUUUAUUUUUUGUCCCAUAUUUUGGACUGCCUGGCCAAAGCAGAACAAUUGCUGGUGCAGAGAUACAGAGGAGUCCCCAAAGGUUAGCUCUGUUCUGGGACUAAAUUACAGCAAAGUCUUGCUCCUUCACUGCUGCUGUGAACUUUAGUAGAGAUAUCCUUUUGGGCUAUUAAUUGACUUCUUAAGAACUUCUGUUUACAUCCAAAAUAAUCAAGAGCCAUGCAGUUUUGAACCAAAAGAAAAUUUCUUUAGAGCUCAGACAUACUUGAAAUCGAAAUUUCAGCUUGGCUCAUUUGAUAUUUUCCCCUAUUUCUAUGACAUUUACAUUGCUUUUUCUUGAUUUUUUUUCUUUCUGGUAGAUGUUUUACCUUUAAGUUACACAAAUAAAACAUAGGGUUCCAUGUGGCUUCUUUGUAACUUAAUUAUAUAUGUACUUUUAUAUGUAUAUAGAAUCACUUUCAAUUACAUUUGCAUGCUUAUAUUUUUUUUUCCAAAAGGACUCUGAUAGCAAGAUUCAUUUGCCAGAUACAAUUGGCAUGCCAGAUUUCUAACUGUAGUUACACAUUCUACAACAGAGACACAAAUUUAUGUACAAAUGAUGGGUUUGCCACAUAUAUCUGUUCCUACACAUUUUUUUUUUUUUUUGACCAGAGGAAGAAACUGUUCUGUAGGAAUUUCUGUAGUUAUCAGACUAGGAUUUAGCUUGGUUCAGUAGUGUGUCUGAAGCUGGCCAUGAUCAGCCUCCUCUGAGGAAAGCAGCCUUUGGAUUAUGAAGAAUUAUCCCAUAGGAAAAGUUUCCUCUUAAAAUCACUUUGUGAGCAGAAGUGUGAAAUACUUUCUUCUAAUUUUGGACAUUUCUGUUGCCCAUAUAAAGUUAAAUUUUUCAAAGCCAUUGGAGUUCAGACCUCAACAAUAGUUUGUAGUGAAUGGUUCCACCCGGUCCUGAAGAGCAGAGUUGAGCAUGGAUCAGCCUUGCACGCAUUGCUCUACGGAACCUCAUCUCUUGCGUGGCAAACAAGAGCUGCCAGUCCUUCCCUGCCAUGAGAGGCUUCUGCAUGGACAACUGAUUUUUAUAAUUGAUUUCAGUGGAAGAAAGCACAUUCUUUAGCUUUAGUGGAAAUUGAGGUGUUUGGAGUUCCAAAAGUCAGUAAUGUAUUGAGAGCAAUUAAAAAAAUGAAAACCUUCUGACAUCAAGUCAUGGCUUGGAAUCCAAUUCUUCUUUAAUAUACCCUCAUAUCU
Molecule: long non-coding RNA, 3500 nt
Filed under: Taeniopygia guttata (zebra finch)
Lineage: Eukaryota; Metazoa; Chordata; Aves; Passeriformes; Estrildidae
Description: lncRNA (ENSTGUG00000024213.1)
Source: RNAcentral